RNAcentral lists this ribosomal RNA (940 nucleotides) under uncultured bacterium. RNAcentral's name for it is "bacterial SSU rRNA". It matches the Rfam family "Bacterial small subunit ribosomal RNA", at positions 50 to 963 of the family's 1533-position model. The record is from RNAcentral.
CUAUCAUGCAAGUAGAACGCACAGGAUGCACCGUAGUUUACUACACCGUAUUCUGUGAGUUGCGAACGGGUGAGUAACGCGUAGGUAACCUGCCUGGUAGCGGGGGAUAACUAUUGGAAACGAUAGCUAAUACCGCAUAAGAACAUUUACUGCAUGGUAGAUGUUUAAAAGGUGCAAGAGCAUCACUACCAGAUGGACCUGCGUUGUAUUAGCUAGUUGGUGGGGUAACGGCUCACCAAGGCAACGAUACAUAGCCGACCUGAGAGGGUGAUCGGCCACACUGGGACUGAGACACGGCCCAGACUCCUACGGGAGGCAGCAGUAGGGAAUCUUCGGCAAUGGGGGGAACCCUGACCGAGCAACGCCGCGUGAGUGAAGAAGGUUUUCGGAUCGUAAAGCUCUGUUGUUAAGGAAGAACGUGUGUGAGAGUGGAAAGUUCACACAAUGACGGUACUUAACCAGAAAGGGACGGCUAACUACGUGCCAGCAGCCGCGGUAAUACGUAGGUCCCGAGCGUUGUCCGGAUUUAUUGGGCGUAAAGCGAGCGCAGGCGGUUAGAUAAGUCUGAAGUGAAAGGCAGUGGCUCAACCAUUGUAGGCUUUGGAAACUGUUUAACUUGAGUGCAGAAGGGGAGAGUGGAAUUCCAUGUGUAGCGGUGAAAUGCGUAGAUAUAUGGAGGAACACCGGUGGCGAAAGCGGCUCUCUGGUCUGUAACUGACGCUGAGGCUCGAAAGCGUGGGGAGCGAACAGGAUUAGAUACCCUGGUAGUCCACGCCGUAAACGAUGAGUGCUAGGUGUUAGGUCCUUUCCGGGACUUAGUGCCGCAGCUAACGCAUUAAGCACUCCGCCUGGGGAGUACGACCGCAAGGUUGAAACUCAAAGGAAAUUGACGGGGGCCCGCACAAGCGGUGGAGCAUGUGGUUUAAUUCGAAGCAACGCG